This 268-nucleotide signal recognition particle RNA is filed under the name bacterium. Its description in RNAcentral is "signal recognition particle sRNA large type". It matches the Rfam family "Bacterial large signal recognition particle RNA". From Rfam's summary of the family: The signal recognition particle (SRP) is a universally conserved ribonucleoprotein involved in the co-translational targeting of proteins to membranes. Archaeal SRP consists of a 7S RNA and homologues of the eukaryotic SRP19 and SRP54 proteins. The record is from RNAcentral. RNAcentral also lists the same sequence under 1 other name.
UCGUGCUAGACGGGGAGAUAGCGGUGCCCUGUACCCGCAAUCCGCUAUAGCGGGGUCGAAUUCCCGUCUAGAGGUCCUCGCACCUCAUCGCUCGACCGGAGCAAAGCAGUGCUGAAGACCGGAUUCUGCGCAACCAAGAGCUUCUGAACUCCGUCAGGACCGGAAGGUAGCAGCGGUAGGAAUGUCUCUUGGUGUGCCGCAGAGCCGUCCGGUUGGAGCUGGCUGGCUUCGGAUGGGUUUAAGGGCGGGAUCGAAGACGGGUGCACGG